UACGAAGGGGGCUAGCGUUGCUCGGAAUUACUGGGCGUAAAGGGCGCGUAGGCGGCACUGUUAGUCAGGCGUGAAAUUCCUGGGCUCAACCUGGGGACUGCGCUUGAUACGGCAGAGCUUGAGGAUGGAAGAGGGUCGCGGAAUUCCCAGUGUAGAGGUGAAAUUCGUAGAUAUUGGGGAGAACACCGGUGGCGAAGGCGGCGACCUGGUCCAUUACUGACGCUGAGGCGCGACAGCGUGGGGAGCAAACAGG
This 253-nucleotide ribosomal RNA is filed under the name uncultured bacterium. RNAcentral describes it as "partial 16S ribosomal RNA". It matches the Rfam family "Bacterial small subunit ribosomal RNA", at positions 524 to 776 of the family's 1533-position model. The record is from RNAcentral.